CGGACGGGUGAGUAAUGUCUGGGAAACUGCCCGAUGGAGGGGGAUAACUACUGGAAACGGUAGCUAAUACCGCAUGAUGUCUGCGGACCAAAGCGGGGGACCUCCGGGCCUCGCGCCAUCAGAUGAACCCAUAUGGGAUUAGCUUGUAGGUAAGGUAACGGCUUACCUAGGCGACGAUCCCUAGCUGGUCUGAGAGGAUGAUCAGCCACACUGGGACUGAGACACGGCCCAG
RNAcentral lists this ribosomal RNA (232 nucleotides) under uncultured bacterium. Its description in RNAcentral is "partial 16S ribosomal RNA". It matches the Rfam family "Bacterial small subunit ribosomal RNA", at positions 99 to 334 of the family's 1533-position model. The record is from RNAcentral.